UACAGAGGGUGCGAGCGUUAAUCGGAAUUAUUGGGCGUAAAGCGCGUGUAGGCGGCUUUGCAAGUCGGGUGUGAAAGCCCUCAGCUCAACUGAGGAAGUGCGCCCGAAACUGCAGAGCUUGAGUGCCGGAGAGGGUGGCGGAAUUCCCCAAGUAGAGGUGAAAUUCGUAGAUAUGGGGAGGAACACCGGUGGCGAAGGCGGCCACCUGGACGGUAACUGACGCUGAGACGCGAAAGCGUGGGUAGCAAACAGG
This 253-nucleotide ribosomal RNA is filed under the name uncultured bacterium. Its description in RNAcentral is "partial 16S ribosomal RNA". It matches the Rfam family "Bacterial small subunit ribosomal RNA", at positions 524 to 776 of the family's 1533-position model. The record is from RNAcentral.